UGCAGUCGAACGAGAUCUUCGGAUCUAGUGGCGCACGGGUGAGUAACACGUGGGAACCUGCCUUUAGGUACGGAAUAACGUCUGGAAACGGACGCUAAUACCGUAUAUUUCCUCCGGGAAAAAGGUCCGCCGCCUAAAGAGGGGCCCGCGUCAGAUUAGCUUGUUGGUGGGGUAAUGGCUUACCAAGGCUACGAUCUGUAGUUGGUCUGAGAGGAUGAUCAGCCACACUGGGACUGAGACACGGCCCAGACUCCUACGGGAGGCAGCAGUGGGGAAUAUUGGACAAUGGGGGCAACCCUGAUCCAGCAAUGCCGCGUGUGUGAUGAAGGCCCUAGGGUUGUAAAGCACUUUCAACGGUGACGAUGAUGACGGUAACCGUAGAAGAAGCCCCGGCUAACUUCGUGCCAGCAGCCGCGGUAAUACGAAGGGGGCGAGCGUUGUUCGGAAUUACUGGGCGUAAAGGGCGCGUAGGCGGUCUAUCCAGUUGGGCGUGAAAGCCCUGGGCUCAACCCAGGAAUUGCGUCCAAUACUAAUAGACUAGAGACCGAGAGAGGAUAGUGGAAUUUCCAGUGUAGAGGUGAAAUUCGUAGAUAUUGGAAAGAACACCAGUGGCGAAAGCGACUAUCUGGCUCGGUUCUGACGCUGAGGCGCGAAAGCGUGGGGAGCAAACAGGAUUAGAUACCCUGGUAGUCCACGCCGUAAACGAUGUCUGCUAGGUGUCGGGAGGUAACCUUUCGGUGCCGCAGCUAACG
This 752-nucleotide ribosomal RNA is filed under the name alpha proteobacterium SCGC AAA015-N17. Its description in RNAcentral is "SSU rRNA". It matches the Rfam family "Bacterial small subunit ribosomal RNA", at positions 56 to 857 of the family's 1533-position model. The record is from RNAcentral. Lineage: Bacteria; Pseudomonadati; Pseudomonadota; Alphaproteobacteria.